GAUGCAACGCGAAGAACCUUACCUGGUCUUGACAUCCACGGAAGUUUUCAGAGAUGAGAAUGUGCCUUCGGGAACCGUGAGACAGGUGCUGCAUGGCUGUCGUCAGCUCGUGUUGUGAAAUGUUGGGUUAAGUCCCGCAACGAGCGCAACCCUUAUCCUUUGUUGCCAGCGGUCCGGCCGGGAACUCAAAGGAGACUGCCAGUGAUAAACUGGAGGAAGGUGGGGAUGACGUCAAGUCAUCAUGGCCCUUACGACCAGGGCUACACACGUGCUACAAUGGCGCAUACAAAGAGAAGCGACCUCGCGAGAGCAAGCGGACCUCAUAAAGUGCGUCGUAGUCCGGAUUGGAGUCUGCAACUCGACUCCAUGAAGUCGGAAUCGCUAGUAAUCGUGGAUCAGAAUGCCACGGUGAAUACGUUCCCGGGCCUUGUACACACCGCCCGUCACACCAUGGGAGUGGGUUGCAAAAGAAGUAGGUAGCUUAACCUUCGGGAGGGCGCUUACCACUUUGUGAUUCAUGACUGGGGUGAAGUCGUAACAAGGUAACCGUAGGGGAACCUGCGGUUGGA
Molecule: ribosomal RNA, 569 nt
Filed under: Escherichia coli
Lineage: Bacteria; Pseudomonadati; Pseudomonadota; Gammaproteobacteria; Enterobacterales; Enterobacteriaceae
Description: bacterial SSU rRNA
Rfam family: Bacterial small subunit ribosomal RNA
Source: RNAcentral